AGAUCAGGAGAUCUGCUGAUGUAAGUGGGGUGUGUCACCGAGGAAGGACCUGUGUCGAAGAACAUGAGAAGCCUUAGAAGCUGGGGAGGCAACACUCUUCUCUCGGGCCUCCAGAGGGACGCAGCCAUGCUGACAGUGUCACCUCACACCCCAUGGAACUCAUUUUGGACUUUUUCCCUCCAGCACUGUAAAGGACUAAGUUCAUGUUUUUUUAAAAGCCGCUACCUCAGUGUCAGAUUGUUAAAAGGAAUGAAAAGGAAGCCAGCGUGUACCCCACUCCCAAGUGCUUCCCUACUUCCUGAGCUCGCGGUGAUGUAAGUCACAAUCACAGAAAGGGCUGAAAAGGGGCGCAGGAAAGGCAUGAUGGGAAGAAUCAGCUUGACAAGGAGAGACUCAGACAGAGACACUGCAGUGACUGUUGAUCCUCGGAUUUACCAGAGAAAAAGCCCAAUUCCGCCAGCUCCGGACAAAUUAAAGCUAGCUUUAUUAAAUAUUAAAUACUGACCACCAAAUCCUCGCCUUUAAUCAGGACCAUUCCCUGGAGCUUCUCACCUGGAAUGGCCUUGAGCCCAUGCAGCAGGGAUUUAUAAGGACAAACCUAUAGGCCAUCAUUGUUUCCCAUGAAGCUUUGUUAUUCCCUAAGAACUACAACUCCCAGCAUUCCAGGAAGUCACCUGGUCCUUGGGCAACUGGGGUUUACAGGUUAAUUUCGGGCAUCACAUGGCAAACACAAUGAGGCUGGUGGAAGAAAAUAAUAUUCUCUCCUUAAUCCUCACAUAGUGAAUAUUCGGUUAACACCACAAAUCAGGAGAUAGCACAUCCUGGAUUGGAGCAAUCAACUCAAUCAGAUCUCCAAGUACAAAUUAGUCCUAAUCAGGUUUAAAUUAGGUACUGUUGGGGUACAUUUUGUGAAGGUGUGUUUAUCAAUUGUUUAAUGGGUACCUGCAGAGAGCUACGCACUCGUCGCAUCUUGGUAUUGUUAUGUCCGUGGCCCAUCGCCAGCCUCAUAUUUUGCAAACAUUCAUCCUUCCUUACUUGCCUAUUGGAUGUAAUAAAGAACUGAUGGCCAAUAGCUGAGCAGAGAAUAGAAGGCGGGACUUCCAGGCAGAGAUAGGGACUUCGGGAGAAGCAAUCAAAUGCAGGAGAUUCACCAGGGAUCACAGAAGAGAUGAUUCAGGGUGGAGCAGAGAGGUAGACCUGGCCAUGUGACAGGAGGUAGGCCUGACCAUGUGACAAGACGAAGGCCAGAAUUAGGUAGAGUAGUUGGGAGCCUGCCAAGCUGAGGCAUUAAAAUGUUAAUAAGAUUCCAUGUCAUUAUUUAUAUAGCUGGGGGUGGGGUCCAUGAAAAGUCCCACUUCAAGGUACAGACCCUUUUAAUAAAAUACUUUCCAUUGAAACUAAUGGAAGAGGAAAUCUAAUGACUGGACUGUAUUAUAUGUUAUUGUGUGUACAUAUACACACAAUAUAUACUAACAUGAAAACAGGCAUAGCUUUCUUAUACCUGUCCUUUUCUAUUCUCCCUGCCACUCCAUAGGGUUUCUCUGUGAGUUUCAAAGUGAGUUCCCACUUUCUAGACAAGGUUAGCCUGCAACUCACAGAGACCUGCCUGCCUCUGCCUCUCAAGUGCUGGGAUGAAAGGCGUGUGCCGCCGCCACCUGGCUAACCUUUCUUAGAGUUACUAGAAAAUAUACACUUUCAUAUAUGAAUCACUUUUAAAUUCCCCAAAACUGAAUCACAGAAUGGCCCAACUCUCUCUAAAGAUUUUUGCAUAGGAGUUGGGUGUUGCUAAACACCACUAAUGCUAGUUCCCUAGGGCUUUGUUGUUGUAGUUGUUGUAAACAUCCUUUGAUAUUUUUAAUAUUAGGUAUGGUUCAGUCAGUUCCUUGACUGAUUGACAGCUGACAUAUUCUCUAUCUUCUGUGGCUGUGUGGAAUAAGAAGCAUCUCUACUCUUAAAAAACAAAACAAAACAAAAUGAAAACAAACAAACUUCUCUGGCCCUCCUGGAAUCACAUAACUUCAGCUUCACGAACCAUUGUGAUCAGGACUGGAACUGACGCCAACAAAGGUCUGCUUUGGGGGACCACACUCCAGCUGGGACCUCUUCCCACACAACCUGUCUAAGAUUUGGAAGACUCUAGAUAACAAGGCUAGACAAACCUUGGUGAGCUCAGCAGCUCCUCCUGCUGUGACUGGGGGGGGGGGGGAAGGUCCAGUGAUUGGUGGAAGGGGAACCGAUCAUUGGUCUUUGUGUAGGGCUUGAGUCAGGUGGAAUUGGAAGCUGCAUAUGUGGAACUAGGAGUGGUGGAGUCAGACUUAACAUGAGAUGAGCAGCCCCUCUUCUGGCUGUUUAAACAGACUGCUCUAUUUCAGCCUGAUAAUAACCAUCCAGAGGCACAGAUACCAAAUGGUAGAUGUUUUCUGUUGGACUUAAUUUGUGAUCUGUAAGUGAAAUGCUCACACAUUCACCCAUUGACAUCCUAGUGUGCUUGGUUUCUGAACACUUCCUCCCCUACCAAACUCUGCAGAUGUUUCCAAACCUAUUAUAUAAAAUGGGACAUUGUUUACAUAUAUUAUAGCUAUGGUCUCCUGUUUGCUAUAAGUCAUUUCUGGGUUAUUUAUCAUACCUAGUAGAAUAUACAUGGCAUGAAAAUGACUGUUAUAGCAUAUUGUCUAGGGAUUAAAGACUAAGGAAAAAAAUCAAACAGUACAUGUUCAACAGGUAAUUUCCCCCCCUUAAGUGUUACAGAUAAAACCCAAAGUGUUGUGUAAGUACUUCACCAUAAUCUACACCUCCAACCAUCAGGCUCACUUAAAUGUCUUUGAUCUGUAAUGGAUUGAAUUUGCGGAUCUGGAAUUGGCAAAGACAGAACAUUAACUAUAUUGCUGUCAAUUUUUGACAUUAUCUCUUAUGUUCCCAUAAUAAUAAAGGUGUUUGUUAUUUGC
This 2945-nucleotide long non-coding RNA is filed under the name Mus pahari (shrew mouse). Its description in RNAcentral is "lncRNA (MGP_PahariEiJ_G0003102.1)". Lineage: Eukaryota; Metazoa; Chordata; Mammalia; Rodentia; Muridae. The record is from RNAcentral.